GGAUUCUAUCGUUGGUCGGGCUAUUGUCUGUACUGGCAUGUAGAAUUUCUACCUUCUGGGGAACUAUCAUGUUAUUAAUUUAGCGUGGUAGGAAACUAGGACCUUUACCUUGAAAAAAUUCGAGUGUUCAAAGCAGGCUUAUGUCUGAAUACAUUAGCAUGGAAUAUUAAAAUAGGACGGUGGUCCUGUUUUGUUGGCCGUA
This 202-nucleotide ribosomal RNA is filed under the name uncultured fungus. Its description in RNAcentral is "partial small subunit ribosomal RNA". The stretch from base 38 to 202 matches the Rfam family "Eukaryotic small subunit ribosomal RNA", at positions 685 to 852 of the family's 1831-position model. The record is from RNAcentral. Lineage: Eukaryota; Fungi.